Molecule: unclassified non-coding RNA, 263 nt
Filed under: plant metagenome
Description: partial contains small subunit ribosomal RNA, internal transcribed spacer 1, and 5.8S ribosomal RNA
Source: RNAcentral
UUUCCGUAGGUGAACCUGCGGAAGGAUCAUUAUUGUAUACCCGAGGUGCGAGGGCUGUCGCUGACCCGAAAGGUCGUGCACGCCCGGGUGCCCCCACACACAUCCAUCUCACCCCUAUGUGCACCACCGCGUGGGUCCCCCUUUGGCUUGUUCGGAGGGGGGCUUACGUUUUCACACAAACUUUGUAUGCAGUGUAGAAUGUAUUUUUUGUUUUUGCGAUCACGCAAUCAAUACAACUUUCAACAACGGAUCUCUUGGCUCUC